AUUUUUAUCAAAUCUUUCCAGAAAGCCCUACUCGAAUUUUUUUUAACUUCAGAAAUAAAUUUCCACUUUCAUCUGACGAUAUAUUUAAGUACGAAUUUCAGGUACUUGAGUUUUUUUUUCUAGAAAUAUCCAAUAAGAGGAUGUUGACAGACAACCAGAUUAAUAUACAUAAGGAUGUACAAGUGCGUGUUUGGAAAGGAGACCAAAUUGGAGCAGGCAUGGACACUGGCGGACAAACUUUCAUAUGGAGAACUCAUGAAUUUAGCUCAUCAAAUUUGCAAAAAUAAAAAAUAUAAAAAAAAUAAAAAAAAAUAAAAAAAUAAAAAAAAAAUGAAAUUGUACGCCGGAGGGUAUACGAUAAAGAGAUGAAUGUUGUGUAUGUAGAAGCAAACACUGAUUUGGAAAAAAUUGUUGCGUCUACUGCUACUGUCAAUGCUACUGAUGUUGUUGCUAGUACUGCCAAUGCCGGUGAUGCUGGUGUUGGAAAUGCUGGUGGUGUUGUUGCCCGAUACUUAAUUGAUGUUCUAUUAUAACCUAUUUAAGUUUGAAUUAUCGUAAGACCUUAUUUAAAUUUAAGUUUAAUAUUCCAAGACUUAUGGUUUACAAGUUAAGACAUUUUAUGUUUAAAGCUAUCUGGGUAAUUCCUAUAGUUUUAAUUUAACUAUGGUAAAAUGGUUUAUGAACUUAAUGCAUUUAUAGUUUUAAUUAUAA
Long non-coding RNA from Papaver somniferum (opium poppy), 711 nucleotides. RefSeq lists it as uncharacterized. The transcript has 2 exons. The record is from RefSeq and is a predicted model, not a curated record. NCBI's taxonomy places the organism in Eukaryota, Viridiplantae, Streptophyta, Magnoliopsida, Ranunculales, Papaveraceae.